UUCAAGGAGCCUUUUUACCCUAAGGCUAGUAGUCCUGGCUAACUGCUACUUCACUCAGUUUUGGCCAGAGUUAACUUCCCAGCCAGAAAAACCACACCCACCAAGUCUUCAGCAGGACUGGAAAAGUCGGAGGAGACAAGGAAGCGGUGGGACUGGCGUGGGUUCGUCGUAGCGAAUUUUCCAGGGCGCAGGAGGAAGAUCAGGAUGGCAUAAAGCAGACCCAUUGGCAGUUGAGAGUUCAGAGGAGGCUCCCAGGCUGAAAAGACGAGGCUUUACAGCACACAAACGCUACCAGUUCGGGUUGAGGAAAUUUGAAGCUAACUGUCCGGCAUGAUGGAUUCCUGGGCUUCCUAAACGACGGGGAUGGAAGGGGCCUCGAAAAAAUAAGUACCGUCACAUGCUCCGUACCAGAGCUGGUUACUUUCUUGAACACUUUUAACGCUAACUCUGCUUGGAGGUGACAUCAAUUCUCCACGGGAGAAUGAAAGCCUGAGACUACAUUUCCCUGCAAGCCUUUGGAAAAGAAAGCCAGAAGGAAAUAGACUUUCCGUUUCCGUUCGCUUGCAAUUUGGCGUGUUCACGGUGAUACAUAUUUCAACAGCUAGAGUCUUUUCUCUGUACAGCUAAAGAAGAGACUUCAUACCCCAGCAGGUACUGGCACCGAGGGAAAGUGACUAGGUUGCCCAUCUCUACAGCAGUCCUUUCCUACUUAUCCGCAGAGACUAGCCUUAGCGGUUGGACUACAAGUCCCAUAGCAUCGUCUGCUCCUACACCCGCCAUCUUUGCGGUAGUCCCCGCCCCUCUCGCUUCCAUUGUCUCGACAGAAGAUAAAAGAGGGGAGCGGGGACGACUACAAUUCCCGGCUGGCUUUGCACUGCCGAGUGCGGGAUUUUGAUAGUUCAGGCAGGCGAGGCGCUCCAAGUGGUAGAAUGAAGCGACCAGGAAAGGUUAGGUAGCCUGCCAUCUUUAUGGUAGUCUCUUUAUCCUCCUGGUUCUGGCACUCUUAAGGAAUACAGGAAGGCUAGAAAACUACUAUUCCCAUCCCACUUCAUAAAAACCGAUUUAUUAGGUGUACGCCCCUCGUUCGCCAUCUUGCUUGUAGUCCUUGUUCCUUUUCACCUUUCCAUUGUUCCUGACGAGUAGAAAUGGCAGCGGGAAGGCAGCAGAUGGACUGCGACUCCCGUCAGGUACCACACACGCGGAGGGUUGUGGACCAGAGGGCGUGUGAGUGCCUGGAAAGGAGGUCGGGUCGGGAGAAAAGGCCAUCUUGUUUGUAGUCAUCGUUCCCGCUCCUUCUCUAUGUCCUGCUACGGGGAGUCUCUGGUCAACUGGACUAUAAUUCCCGCCAUGCUCGGCUCCCAGCAUGGCAUGCCUUUCGCCAUCUUAGUUGUAGUGCCGGCUGGCCCCAGUAUCCCAUUUUUCCCACGAUAGCGCCAGAAUUUACAGGACUACAUCUCCCGUCGUGCUUUGCACGUGCUUGUCCUGGAAAGUAGAGCUGGUGGAGGAAGG
Microtus ochrogaster (prairie vole) is the source of this 1509-nucleotide long non-coding RNA. RefSeq lists it as uncharacterized. The transcript has 3 exons. Lineage: Eukaryota; Metazoa; Chordata; Mammalia; Rodentia; Cricetidae. The record is from RefSeq and is a predicted model, not a curated record.